This is a long non-coding RNA of Bombus pyrosoma, 3690 nucleotides long. RefSeq lists it as uncharacterized. The record is from RefSeq and is a predicted model, not a curated record. The transcript is spliced from 3 exons. Lineage: Eukaryota; Metazoa; Arthropoda; Insecta; Hymenoptera; Apidae.
UGAAAAAACACAUCGUGGUUAUUAAAUCAAACUGUAUCAACUUGAUGAGAAUUCUUAAAGAGAACUGUUUAAAGAAAAUUUACGGAUUAAAAGCAAAUUUUGUGGUUCGAAACUAAAUUAAAGUUUCGGUAAAAAUAACAUUAAAAUAAAGCAAUAAAGAAAGUAACACAUUUUAAGCAUAUAACAAUUGGCAGGGCAGACAAUGAAAAGGAAAUAGCAUAUACAAAACGUACAGUAAUUCAUAAAAAUAUUUGAACACUUAGAGUUAGUAGGAAACUUUUACGAAUAUGUUAUGAUAUUACAUACAUAACAUAUUGUAUUAAGUAAAAACCAUUACCAUUAUAGCGAUGAUAAUGAGUCAUACUUCAUUACAGCGCUAAUUAAAUUUCAAAAAGCUUUACAUAGCAUGCAUAAUAUGCUAUUCAUGAAAGAUUUCCAUAAGUAUCCAAAUACUUUUGCGAAUUAGUGAUAAUGAGUGCCAAUUUUUGUUAAAUUCUGAUAUAAAAGACAAUUUAAACAAAUAUUUGAUGUCUACUCCCUCCUUUUUUUCUUUUUUCUCUUUCCUUUCCCUUUCUCAAAAAAAAAAAGAAAGAGAAAGAAGAAAAAGAAAGACGAAAGAAUGCUAUAUAUGGAAACAUUUUGUAUCGUUGAACAAUCUUCGGUUUUGCUUCGUUUUUAUCCUCAUUCAAACAGAAAAUAUUUUCUAUGUUGAUUAUGUCGUAUUUGUUUAAUAAACUAGAAGGACUUGUCUUUAAUUCGUUGAGUUUGCCUAUUUUCCUAAUGUGUACCCUGAUUUAUGAAAUAAUAGAAAGAAAAGAAUUUGAUACACAUCUUCAUUCAUUAACGCAAAGUCUUUAAUAUAAGGAAAUUGUAUCUUAUUGUUAGUUACCUGAAAUAUUUGAAAUAAAUGAUGAAAUAUUUUUUUUUAGAUUUAUAAUUAGAAAUUUUAAAAGUUGAAAAAUAUUACAAUUUUUUAACGUAAAAUAGUUCCUUUUCUUUAAUAAAUUUAAAUGGAUGUAAUAGUUAUUCGGUUAUCUUUUCUUACGAUAUCCAAAAAGGAAUAGAAACAAAUUUUUAGGGAAUAUUGAGUAAUAUUUUGAAUAUUCAUAUCUUAUCUCGGGUUGCUCGCGUGUUAAAAAUAUUUGGAAAGUGUAACAGCGUUGUUCUAGAGUUAAUAUCAAAGUAGUAAAGUAUUUAACUACUUUUUUCACUUUUGACACAAUAUGGCACCAGAUCCAUUUUCAUGACUCUAUUGCCUACCUUACUCACCACUUCACCACCCGUCAACCGCGAACCUACUCUACCCUUACUCUUAGUCCUUCUCAGAAACAUAAUCCCUAUAAUUUUUACCAAUUAAUUUACUAUCAAAUUCCGCCAUUUUCACACAUCUCCUUUCCAAUUAAAAUAAACAAGAGCACAAAAGGUUCAAUAGAUAUCACCCACAUAUCCAAUUACUCAUCGUUUAGUUAAUACAACUUGUGUAUUCGCAGUUAUUAUUUUAAGGUUAAGCUUUUGAGGAGACAAAAAUUAUAGGUAGAUUUUUAAUUACGUGAUUAGUUAGCAAUUUAAACCUUCCUGUUGUUCAAAGGUUUGUUACAUUUGUAUUAAAUAUAAUAAUUUCAUACCUGUACAUACUUUUCUCCCAAUAAUAUUAAAGUAAACUAAAUAUAUUUUUCAGAUGGCGCUGCUACUUAAUACAGAAAUAAGAACUUUAACGUUAACCUUUCUCAGAUCAGACUGCAACCGUGAAGAAAUUAGUCUGAUAUGCUACUAGUAAUAUCGGUAGCAUAACACAGCUUUGUAACUAGGCAAAUCUCAUUAAUAACGAAUUAAAGACUCAAUGCGAUAUUUACUGAUUUGAUUUUUAUUAGAUAAAUGUCUCCAAGUUGGUAAUAAGCUAAUAACGGUGGAAAUCAGCCGGGAGUGAUGCAGAUGAUAAAGGAAAUAUACGAGAAAACAACAAAUAAUUACGAACAAUACGAAUAACAUUCGGAAAGAGAUUGGCUGAGAAACAACGAAGAUGGGACUGGAAAUUCAUUUGACUGUGAAACUUGUGAUCGACGUUUUAGCAAUUGUCGAUGAAGAUAUCAAGAAAAUCUUCAAAUCGUUAAAAAGUUACUCGAAGGAAAAUUAGCUCGGCAUGGCUCUUUUUCAUUACCUGGAAAAGAAGAAUAUAUCUCUUGGACGUGUUCAUCAGCCCAAUGUUACUUUAUAGAAUCGAGAUGUGACGACAGUAAGAAAAGGACGAAAUGGCAAUAGGAUUGUAUAGAAAUAUUCCAGAUUACACGUGGAGAUUGGAAUCAAGCAUAGCGAGAAUAGGCAUACAAACCAAACAGAGAACCGAUAAGUAUGCAUACUGAUCAUAGUUAAAAUGAAAGAAAACAAUGAUUUAGGAUUUGCCUAAAAGAAGAUUUGAGGGUACAAAAUGGCAAAUCUUUAGAAUGGGAAACAGAGUCUGUUAAAGCUUUAGAACUAGGAAUAAAGCCAGCGUCAUCUGAUCAGGAAUACGACAUCCUAGAAAAUAAUGAAAACUAAAAAAUGUAAUGGAAAAUAUAUACGAAUAUAUAAAAAGAUGUUUAGAUUAUGAUUAGACUACGGAUAUUUAUGCAAAACAUUCUUAUAGACACAAAUAAAAAAUUUCGAUUUGAAUAGAAGAGUGUUACUCUUCAAAUAUAGUAAUCUUAUAUAUUAUAUUUUUGCAUAUCUUCACUUGUCAUAAAUGCAUACAUAUCUGCAUUUUAGUGAUAACGAAACGUUUAAGCGUCAUAAGUUUUUGAGGAAAUGAAAUAUCGUGUGAAGUAUUCAGUAUUCGAUAACUUUAUCUUACUACUUUUAUUCGCAGAAUAACUUAAGAAAUUAAUUCAUGGAAAAAAUUUUCCAAUUUACAAAAAAUAGUGCAAUUAACAUUUUGUGAAAAAGAUUCUACUACACGAUUAUAGAGCUCGUCAAACAGCACGAAAUUUUCCGUUAAGAUUUUUUCUAACUUCAUUUAGAGGAGGGAUAAUUAUAUAUAUAUAUAUAUAUAAUAUAUAUAUAAUAUAAUUUGGCUGAAAUGUUAGAAUUCAAAAGCAUUAUGUGUUAUGCAUUAUUCCCAAAAUAUAUCAUUCGACGAAAUCAUACAUUUCAGUUUAGUCGUUGUUAUUAAAAUAGUAUAAAUUAUGUCACGCAUUAUGAGUGAAUACGUGUAUGUGUACAUAUGUAUAUUUAACAAAAUUUCAAAUGGCAUUAUACUUUAUUUUUUGCCCCAAGUACAGCGCAUAAGGCGCAUUUUUCCUGAGAUGAAUAAAAGAUUGCAUGAAUUGUAUUAUAAUAACUUGUAACUUGGAUGGUAAGGUCGGAAUAUUCGGCCUAAAUAUUCGAUAUAUAAAGUAAUUGUAUCAAAAUAUUUAUCUAUAACUCUUCAUAAAAUACAGAAUGUUGGAUAUAAAAAUAUGUCUCUUUUUACCAUUUUUUACAUAUAAUAGGAAUUGUAGGUAUAUUUGUUAACUGUUACCAAAUACAUACAUAAACAUACAUAUAAGACUGAAAUACUAUUCAAUAUUUUCAUUGAAUGUAAUUAUACUUUUGAAAAUGUUAAAUAACUUCAUACAAAUAUAGUAUGUCUAUACAAAAAUUAGUGUACAUUGUUUCAAAUGAUAAUAAACAAUUAAAAGAGCAAUAGACAGCAAUAAAACAUUUCUUUUACUUUAU